This 253-nucleotide ribosomal RNA is filed under the name uncultured bacterium. RNAcentral describes it as "partial 16S ribosomal RNA". It matches the Rfam family "Bacterial small subunit ribosomal RNA", at positions 524 to 776 of the family's 1533-position model. The record is from RNAcentral.
UACAGAGGGUGCAAGCGUUGUUCGGAAUUAUUGGGCGUAAAGCGCGUGUAGGCGGUGAUGCAUGUCGGGUGUGAAAGCCCUCAGCUUAACUGAGGAAGUGCGCCCGAAACUGCAUCGCUGGAGUGUCGGAGAGGAAGGCGGAAUUCCCGGUGUAGAGGUGAAAUGCGCAGAUAUCGGGAAGAACACCCGUGGCGAAGGCGGCUCUCUGGGACGGUACUGACGCUGAGACGCGAAAGCGUGGGGAGCGAACAGG